RNAcentral lists this ribosomal RNA (279 nucleotides) under uncultured bacterium. Its description in RNAcentral is "partial 16S ribosomal RNA". It matches the Rfam family "Bacterial small subunit ribosomal RNA", at positions 506 to 784 of the family's 1533-position model. The record is from RNAcentral.
UGCCAGCCGCCGCGGUAAUACGGAGGGUGCAAGCGUUAUCCGGAAUCACUGGGUUUAAAGGGUGCGUAGGCGGCGUUGUAAGUCAGAGGUGAAAGCCCACCGCUUAACGGUGGAACUGCCUUUGAUACUGCAAUGCUUGAAUCAGGCUGAGGUCAGCGGAAUGUGUCAUGUAGCGGUGAAAUGCAUAGAUAUGACAUAGAACACCAAUUGCGAAGGCAGCUGACUAGGCCAUUUUUGACGCUGAGAUACGAAAGCGUGGGUAGCAAACAGGAUUAGAUA